Molecule: non-coding RNA, 2262 nt
Organism: Jatropha curcas
Lineage: Eukaryota; Viridiplantae; Streptophyta; Magnoliopsida; Malpighiales; Euphorbiaceae
Source: RefSeq, a predicted model, not a curated record
UUCUCGUCGCCCAAUUCCACAACUGCACUACUUAUUGCUCUAAGUUUCAAAACUCAGCAUCUUAGCUGCGAUCACGGAAAAUCUAGAAAUGAGUUACCUGAACCGCGUUUGCGUGGCGGCUAGCGUGGCCGUGGUGCAAGGCCAUCCCGACCAAGGGUGGAAAGCAAGCUUAAAGACUCUGCAGCACGGCAAGAGACGGCUGUUUUCCGGCGGAGACAAAUCGGAUCUCCGGCCACUAUCUGGUUUUCUCGGAUCAGACGGCGGUGUCGGAGUUCCUGUAAGUCCUAACGGAGACGAGAGAGGGAGGCAAAACGAUGAAUCUUUCCGGCAAGUUAUGUAUCUAAAUUGCUGGGGCCAGGGGUGAAAUUAUGGGAGAUGAGGCUUGAACUAUAUAUGUGAAUUGAGAGUUGGAAGAGGUUGACUCGGAGUCGACUGAGUUGGGAGAGACGAUCCAGCGCGGAUUUAGAAAUACAAAUAGAAUGAUCGUCUCUCUUUUGUAAAAUGUAAGCAUGUAGAGUUAGUCGGUGAGAUCAGAAAAGAGAAGAUGAGAAGUUUGAGUUUGGUAUAAUUUAAUUGUGAAUUUUAAGCAAUAAAAUUAACCAAAUAUGCAGUUAAUGGAAUCAUGAUUUUAUUUCCAUCUCUGAAAUUUAUAUUUCGUUUGGCGUUUGGUCGAUGAAGCAAGCCCUAAAGCGAUUUAAUCUCCUCCUCCUAAUCUCUAAUGAGAUUUGAACAUGUUAACUAUUAGUAUUCUUGAAGAUUUCAAUUUUCAAUUCUAUUCUAAAUUUUGUACUUCAAAUUGCACAAAUUUGAGGAUAUUCAAUUCAGGGUAAUUUGGUUUGAGAGCUCUUGAUUUUGCAGAGAUCCUCUAUAACGUUUAAAUCACUGUCAUGAAUUGCCAUCGGAAUAAUUUUUAUGUAUCGGAACAAUUUGAUGUGCUGCAAAAAAAAGUAGUAAUCCUUCUCUUCUACGGUCACCGGAACUCGAGAACAUAGACUUUUCAGUUCUUUCAUAAACCUUUCCACAUCGUCUACAAUCCUGAUUGGAGAAGCAGAUUACGAUGAUGAUAAGGGAGUAUGUGUUGGAGGAAGCCACUCUGCCCCACCCAUUCAUCUAAAGUCUAAACGCAAUAAAUUCACAGUCCAAUCUGUCUAUUUAGGAUUUGAUAUAAAGUGGCCCAAAGUGGACUUCGGUUCAAGUAUUACUUUAAGCAGAGGCCCAAAUCUUUGUGCACACCAAUGUAAUUCGACAAUCCAAGUUAGGAUAUAACCGAGCCGGUUUGAUAGCUGUUGGAGCUCUGUUCGAAAAAACUUAUUCCGAGCCAUGUUUGAAUUUUGUCCAGCUCAUUUUAUCCAAGUCUUUCUCAUCCGACAUAAAAACGAAGGAAGCAAUGUUAUUGUUAGAGAAGCCGGCUUCUGUGUACAUGUACAAGAAAGAAUACACUGCCAAGAAAUGUUGAUCUCUCCAAUGCAGCAUUUUGCAUAUAAAUUAGGACAUCAUUCCUGAGGAUACUGCGUAAGAAAAGAAAAGCUACAUUAAAUUAAUUGGAUUAAGAAUGGCCAGGUUGAGCAGCAAAGCGACCAUCUUAUUCAGUUUGGUUCUGUUAGUCUCUCUUCUUCUUGCUGAGAGCAGACAGAUUGGCAUUGGAUUUGGACGGGGACAAGCAAGAGCGGAGUGUGAUUCAGUAUAUGGCGCAGAAGAUGGAGAUACAUGUACGAGCGUUGCUAAAAAGUUCGAUGUGAGUCUCGAAUUCUUCACCUCCAUCAAUCCAAAUAUCAAUUGCGAUGACAUUUUUGUCGGCCAGUGGCUCUGCGUCGACGGAACUGCUUAAAGUUUAAAUGCUCUGAUCUGAUCACCUCAUGGAAUGGAUGUAUGAAUAAAUUAAACGGAUUUUCUUGUUCUAGAUAAAAUAAAAGUCGUUCCUUUCACAGAACAAUGUGAAACGCGCAGAAGAAUAGUUAUUGAAGUUUCCAAAUCUUUUCUAAUGAAGUUUCCUUCAGUAAUGGUUAUAUAUAUAUAUAGUAUUGCAUAGAAAAAAAAAUAUAACAUCAGCAAUCUUCAGGGCAGCCCUGCUUUAUGAAUGUUAUAGAACAAGGAAAUUUUGCUCCACUAAUUGUAGUAACUAUCAUUGUUGACUCCAAUUUCAAAUACAAGUGGAGAUUGAAACUUCCAACUACUGGCUAAAUUUGCCACUAACAAAUCAAAACCUUUUUUGACAAUUACAUUAUGAAGAAAAGCCAAUUGCCCACUAAAAAAAUGAAACAA